UGUCUCGUAGUUUAAUAGGUUAAAACGGACCCCUUAUAAGGGUUUAAUUUGGGUUCAAUCCCCGGCGGGACGACCA
RNAcentral lists this transfer RNA (76 nucleotides) under Campylobacterota bacterium. Its description in RNAcentral is "Epsilonproteobacteria bacterium (wastewater metagenome) tRNA-Ile". It matches the Rfam family "tRNA". Rfam says of the family: Transfer RNA (tRNA) molecules are approximately 80 nucleotides in length. Their secondary structure includes four short double-helical elements and three loops (D, anti-codon, and T loops). Further hydrogen bonds mediate the characteristic L-shaped molecular structure. tRNAs have two regions of fundamental functional importance: the anti-codon, which is responsible for specific mRNA codon recognition, and the 3' end, to which the tRNAs corresponding amino acid is attached (by aminoacyl-tRNA synthetases). tRNAs cope with the degeneracy of the genetic code in two manners: having more than one tRNA (with a specific anti-codon) for a particular amino acid; and 'wobble' base-pairing, i.e. permitting non-standard base-pairing at the 3rd anti-codon position. Lineage: Bacteria; Pseudomonadati; Campylobacterota. The record is from RNAcentral.